CACCAUGAGGAAUCCAUUCUGAUGGGGGUAGUGGUGUCCACAUCCAGUGCCUGCGAUGUACAGAGCUGCAGUUUCCACACUUCGCAGUCGUGACUUUUCUAUGUCAGGAAUUUGGGAGCUGCUUGGCUGGGCAGCAAUUCUGGCUCAAGGUCUUUCAUGCGAUUGCAGUCAAGAUGUCUACCAGGGCUACAGUCAUCUGAAGGCUUGGCUGGGGCUGGAGGAUCUGCUUCCAAGGGCGAAAAUGAAUUCAUAGAAAUGGGAAUGGUAUAACAAUUCACUCCUAUCAAAGCAUUACAACAUAGUUCUUUUGAGGAUAUUUUCCUGACAAAACAAUAUAUUACCUAUGAUCAAGUAUAGCUCUUCUCCCUGCAGCAAAUUCACAGUUAAUCAAGCAAGUUCUUAGUAACUGUCCACCUUUGAUAAUUUAAGGACUCCCCUACCUUGAGGCAUGGUAUAAACUAGAUGUUCUCUCAAGUUCUUUUUGACGCUGCACGUAUACCUAUAUCUGUAUGAACAUUUAUUCAUUUAUGUUAAAUUAUAUGUAACUAUAUAGCAUAUUUU
This 561-nucleotide long non-coding RNA is filed under the name Equus asinus (donkey). RNAcentral describes it as "lncRNA (ENSEASG00005036379.1)". Lineage: Eukaryota; Metazoa; Chordata; Mammalia; Perissodactyla; Equidae. The record is from RNAcentral.